Molecule: transfer RNA, 74 nt
Filed under: Capra hircus (goat)
Lineage: Eukaryota; Metazoa; Chordata; Mammalia; Artiodactyla; Bovidae
Also listed under: 1 other name
Rfam family: tRNA
About the family: Transfer RNA (tRNA) molecules are approximately 80 nucleotides in length. Their secondary structure includes four short double-helical elements and three loops (D, anti-codon, and T loops).
Source: Rfam by way of RNAcentral
UCCCAGGUGGCUCAGUAGUAAAAAAGUAUCUGCCUGCCAAGCAGGAGAUGCAGGUUUGAUCCCUGGGUUAGGAA